RNAcentral lists this ribosomal RNA (396 nucleotides) under uncultured bacterium. Its description in RNAcentral is "partial 16S ribosomal RNA". It matches the Rfam family "Bacterial small subunit ribosomal RNA", at positions 523 to 918 of the family's 1533-position model. The record is from RNAcentral.
AUACGUAGGGGGCGAGCGUUGUCCGGAAUGAUUGGGCGUAAAGGGCGCGUAGGCGGCCCGGUAAGUCUGGAGUGAAAGUCCUGUUUUUGAGAUGGGAAUUGCUUUGGAUACUGUCGGGCUUGAGUGCAGGAGAGGUAAGUGGAAUUCCAGUGUAGCGGUGAAAUGCGUAGAGAUUGGGAGGAACACCAGUGGCGAAGGCGACUUACUGGACUGUAACUGACGCUGAGGCGCGAAAGUGUGGGGAGCAAACAGGAUUAGAUACCCUGGUAGUCCACACUGUAAACGAUGAAUGCUAGGUGUAGGGGGUAUCGACCCCUUCUGUGCCGCAGUCAACACAAUAAGCAUUCCGCCUGGGGAGUACGGCCGCAAGGUUGAAACUCAAAGGAAUUGGCGGGG